GGUGUGUUAGUUCAGUCGGUUAGAAUAUCUGCCUGUCACGCAGGGGGUCACGAGUUCGAGUCUCGUACACACCG
This 74-nucleotide transfer RNA is filed under the name Bacteroidales bacterium. RNAcentral describes it as "tRNA-Asp". It matches the Rfam family "tRNA". Rfam says of the family: Transfer RNA (tRNA) molecules are approximately 80 nucleotides in length. Their secondary structure includes four short double-helical elements and three loops (D, anti-codon, and T loops). The record is from RNAcentral. RNAcentral also lists the same sequence under 2 other names. Lineage: Bacteria; Pseudomonadati; Bacteroidota; Bacteroidia; Bacteroidales.